AAAAAACUGCCAAAAGAUUUGACUGCUAAGUGCUAGUCCCUGUUCUCCUGCAUUCUUGUUGAACUUUUGAAAGUAAUGCAGCGGUUUGUUGGGGAGAAGAACGUCAACUAAAGUUGCUAGCUGGCUAACGUUAGCUCUCUGGCUAAUCCUCCAUGGACGUGUUUGAGAUUGAUGACCAACGAGUUAAUGUCCCACUUCAUUAUGAAGGGACAGAGGAGCAAACAUGCCUUUGCUACAACUUGAGUGCUCCAUUGUAAUUGUAAGUGCAAUGAAAAGCCAGAAAAAGUUGAUGUUGAUGUGUUUCGGGCCCUCUGGAAAGUUCUAAAAUAUGCCCCUAAUGCCGGGAUGGAUGAGGACGCAAAGUAUAUAUAUGAGCAAGUUGCUCUUUUUUGAAGACAUCUAAGCUACA
This is a long non-coding RNA of Coregonus clupeaformis (lake whitefish), 409 nucleotides long. RefSeq lists it as uncharacterized. NCBI's taxonomy places the organism in Eukaryota, Metazoa, Chordata, Actinopteri, Salmoniformes, Salmonidae. The transcript is spliced from 3 exons. The record is from RefSeq and is a predicted model, not a curated record.